UACGAAGGGGGCAAGCGUUGUUCGGAAUUAUUGGGCGUAAAGAGCGUGUAGGCGGCUUGGAAGGUCAGCUGUGAAAACUCGAGGCUCAACCUCGAGACGUCGGUUGAAACCACCUGGCUAGAGUCCGGAAGAGGAGAGUGGAAUUCCCGGUGUAGCGGUGAAAUGCGCAGAUAUCGGGAAGAACACCCGUGGCGAGGGCGGCUCUCUGGGACGGUACUGACGCUGAGACGCGAAAGCGUGGGGAGCGAACAGG
This 253-nucleotide ribosomal RNA is filed under the name uncultured bacterium. RNAcentral describes it as "partial 16S ribosomal RNA". It matches the Rfam family "Bacterial small subunit ribosomal RNA", at positions 524 to 776 of the family's 1533-position model. The record is from RNAcentral.